This 249-nucleotide ribosomal RNA is filed under the name uncultured bacterium. RNAcentral describes it as "partial 16S ribosomal RNA". It matches the Rfam family "Bacterial small subunit ribosomal RNA", at positions 87 to 339 of the family's 1533-position model. The record is from RNAcentral.
GCUGACGAGUGGCGGACGGGUGAGUAAUGCAUAGGAAUCUGCCCAGUAGCGGGGGACAACUUGGUGAAAACCAAGCUAAUACCGCAUACGCCCUACGGGGGAAAGGAGGGGAUCUUCGGACCUUUCGCUAUGAGAUGAGCCUGCGUUAGAUUAGCUAGUUGGUAGGGUAAAGGCCUACCAAGGCGACGAUCUAUAGCUGGUCUGAGAGGACGAUCAGCCACACUGGGACUGAGACACGGCCCAGACUCC